AGAGUUUGAUCAUGGCUCAGAGUGAACGCUGGCGGCGUGGAUUAGGCAUGCAAGUCGAACGAUCCCUUCGAAACAAACCGAGGUAGCUUGCUACCGAAGAGAGUUUCAUUUUGGGAUAGUGGCAAACGGGUGAGUAACGCGUAGAUAAUCUUCCUCAAAAUCGGGCAUAGCUCUGCGAAAGCGGAGGUAAUACCUGAUGUGGUCAUGGAGCCGUAUGACUCUAUGAUUAAAGGCAGGGACCUUCGGGCCUGCCGUUUUGUGAUGAAUCUGCGUCCUAUCAGCUUGUUGGUGGGGUAAUGGCCUACCAAGGCGCUUGACGGGUAGCUGGUCUGAGAGGAUGGUCAGCCACACUGGGACUGAGACACUGCCCAGACUCCUACGGGAGGCUGCAGUCGAGAAUCUUUAGCAAUGGACGAAAGUCUGACUAUGCGACGCCGCGUGCAGGAUGAAGGUUUUCGGAUCGUAAACUGCUUUUGUUAGGGAAGAACCCUCUGAUGUUAAUAGCAUCAGAGCUGACGGUACCUAACGAAUAAGCCACGGCCAACUCCGUGCCAGCAGCCGCGGUAAUACGGAGGUGGCAAGCGUUACUCGGAAUUAUUGGGUGUAAAGGGCAAGUAGGCGGCCUAUUAAGUGAGGGGUGAAAUCCUGCGGCUCAAUCGCAGAACUGCCCUUCAAACUAAAAGGCUUGAGGCUGGAAGAGGAAAGUGGAAUUAGCAGAGUAAGGGUGAAAUCUGUAGAUACUGCUAAGAAUACCUACGGCGAAGGCAGCUUUCUGGUCCAGAUCUGACGCUAAAUUGCGAAAGCUAGGGUAGCAAACAGAAUUAGAUACUCUGGUAGUCCUAGCCGUAAACGAUGAGCACUAGGUGUUGGGACUUCGGUUUCAGUGCCGCAGCUAACGCAUUAAGUGCUCCACCUGGGGACUACGGUCGCAAGGCUAAAACUCAAAGGAAUUGACGGGGACCCGCACAAGCGGUGGAACAUGUGGUUUAAUUCGAUGCUACGCGAAGAACCUCACCAGGACUUGACAUGUAGCGAGUAGUGUAUCCGAAAGGUGAGCCACCCGUUAAGUUCGGGAAGCUACACAGGUGCUGCAUGGCUGUCGUCAGCUCGUGUCGUGAGAUGUUGGGUUAAGUCCCGCAACGAGCGCAACCAUUGCCUCAUGUUGCUAUCAUACUCUGAUCCUUCGGGAUUUUGUGUGAGCACUCUUGAGGGACUGCCUGGAAUAACCAGGAGGAAGGUGGAGAUGACGUCAAGUCAGUACGGCCUUUAUGUCCUGGGCUACACACGUGUUACAAUGGAUGGUACAAAGGGUUGCCAACCCGCGAGGGGGAGCUAAUCUCAAAAAACCAUCCUCAGUUCGGAUAGGAGUCUGCAAUUCGACUCCUUGAAGCCGGAAUCGCUAGUAAUGGGAGAUCAGCUCGCUCCCGUGAAUACGUUCCCGGGUCUUGUACACACCGCCCGUCAAGCGAUGAAAGCCGGAAGUACCCGAAGUCCUAUGUAGAUAGGCCGAAGGUAAAGCCGGUGAUUGGCGCUAAGUCGUAACAAGGUA
This 1549-nucleotide ribosomal RNA is filed under the name metagenome. Its description in RNAcentral is "bacterial SSU rRNA". It matches the Rfam family "Bacterial small subunit ribosomal RNA". The record is from RNAcentral.